Unclassified non-coding RNA from Aotus nancymaae (Ma's night monkey), 298 nucleotides. It matches the Rfam family "Metazoan signal recognition particle RNA". Rfam says of the family: The signal recognition particle (SRP) is a universally conserved ribonucleoprotein. It is involved in the co-translational targeting of proteins to membranes. The eukaryotic SRP consists of a 300-nucleotide 7S RNA and six proteins: SRPs 72, 68, 54, 19, 14, and 9. The record is from Ensembl. Lineage: Eukaryota; Metazoa; Chordata; Mammalia; Primates; Aotidae.
GCCGGGCGCGUGGCACGUGCCUGUAGUCCCAGCUACUCGGGAGGCUGAGGCUGGAGGAUCACUUGAGUCCAGGAGUUCUGGGCUGUAGUGCGCUAUGCCGAUCAGGUGUCUGCACUAAGUUUGGCAUCAUUAUGGUGACCUCCCGGGAGCUGGGGACCGUCAGGUUGCCUAAGGAGGGGUAAACUGGCCCAGGUCGGAAAUAGAGCAGGUCAAAACUCCCUUGCUGAUGAGUAGUGGGAUCGUGCCUGUGAAUAGCCACUACACUCCAGCCUGGGCAACACAGUGAGACUCCAUCUCU